Molecule: ribosomal RNA, 465 nt
Filed under: Vreelandella stevensii
Lineage: Bacteria; Pseudomonadati; Pseudomonadota; Gammaproteobacteria; Oceanospirillales; Halomonadaceae
Description: partial 16S ribosomal RNA
Rfam family: Bacterial small subunit ribosomal RNA
Source: RNAcentral
CCUAUGGGUGGCUGCAGUGGGGAAUAUUGGACAAUGGGCGAAAGCCUGAUCCAGCCAUGCCGCGUGUGUGAAGAAGGCCUUCGGGUUGUAAAGCACUUUCAGUGGGGAAGAAAGCCUUGGGGCUAAUACCCUCGAGGAAGGACAUCACCCACAGAAGAAGCACCGGCUAACUCCGUGCCAGCAGCCGCGGUAAUACGGAGGGUGCGAGCGUUAAUCGGAAUUACUGGGCGUAAAGCGCGCGUAGGCGGUCUGAUAAGCCGGUUGUGAAAGCCCCGGGCUCAACCUGGGAACGGCAUCCGGAACUGUCAGGCUAGAGUGCAGGAGAGGAAGGUAGAAUUCCCGGUGUAGCGGUGAAAUGCGUAGAGAUCGGGAGGAAUACCAGUGGCGAAGGCGGCCUUCUGGACUGACACUGACGCUGAGGUGCGAAAGCGUGGGUAGCAAACAGGAUUAGAUACCCGGGUAGUC